RNAcentral lists this ribosomal RNA (443 nucleotides) under uncultured bacterium. RNAcentral's name for it is "partial 16S ribosomal RNA". It matches the Rfam family "Bacterial small subunit ribosomal RNA", at positions 338 to 795 of the family's 1533-position model. The record is from RNAcentral.
CCUACGGGUGGCAGCAGUGGGGAAUAUUGGGCAAUGGGCGCAAGCCUGACCCAGCAACGCCGCGUGAAGGAAGAAGGCUUUCGGGUUGUAAACUUCUUUUCUCAGGGACGAAGCAAGUGACGGUACCUGAUGAAUAAGCCACGGCUAACUACGUGCCAGCAGCCGCGGUAAUACGUAGGGGGCAAGCGUUAUCCGGAUUUACUGGGUGUAAAGGGCGGGUAGGCGGGGACGCAAGUCAGAUGUGAAAACCACGGGCUCAACCUGUGGCCUGCAUUGGAAACUGUGUUUCUUGAGUGCUGGAGAGGAGGACGGAAUUCCUAGUGUAGCGGUGAAAUGCGUAGAUAUUAGGAGGAACACCAGUGGCGAAGGCGGUCUGCUGGACAGCAACUGACGCUGAGGCGCGAAAGCGUGGGGAGCAAACAGGAUUAGAUACCCUUGUAGUC